CGGGGUAUGGCCUAAUUGGCUAAGGCGCCUGCUUUGGGAGCAGGAGAUUCUGGGUUCAAGUCCCAGUACCCCGAC
Molecule: transfer RNA, 75 nt
Filed under: Parcubacteria group bacterium ADurb.Bin115
Lineage: Bacteria
Description: tRNA-Pro
Rfam family: tRNA
About the family: Transfer RNA (tRNA) molecules are approximately 80 nucleotides in length. Their secondary structure includes four short double-helical elements and three loops (D, anti-codon, and T loops).
Source: RNAcentral